Molecule: ribosomal RNA, 326 nt
Filed under: uncultured bacterium
Lineage: Bacteria
Description: bacterial SSU rRNA
Rfam family: Bacterial small subunit ribosomal RNA
Source: RNAcentral
GAUGAACGCUGGCGGCGUGCCUAACACAUGCAAGUCGAACGAAGCUUGACGAAUGAUUUUUUUCGGAAUGAAUUCUGAUAUGACUGGGUGGCGGACGGGUGAGUAACGCGUGAGCAACCUGCCCUUCGGAGGGGGAUAGUGUCUGGAAACGGACAGUAAUACCGCAUAACGUAUUUUUACCGCAUGAUAGAAAUACCAAAACUGAGGUGCCGAAGGAUGGGCUCGCGUUGGAUUAGAUAGUUGGUGGGGUAACGGCCUACCAAGUCGACGAUCCAUAGCCGGACUGAGAGGUUGAACGGCCACAUUGGGACUGAGACACGGCCCAG